UCAGGCAGUUGUACCAUAUGAAACUGACAGCAAUUGUUCUGAUUCAUGGUUUAGGAGGAGUAGCUGAUUAAUCCCAUGUCAGCAGUCUUGACCCUAUGUGGAAAAUAGAACCAGAGAAGGCCUACUCAACAAUAUAUCAAGGGACAAAGUUCUUUUAUUUGUCUUGCUCUUAAGUAUAAUCUUCAAUACGGACAAGACUGUCUUUUAAAGAAAACAUCUUUUAUGAUGGACCACCAUGCUGAGUUUUGAUAAAAAUUAAAAGGACUUUCAAAAUUAUCUUCUUGGUCUUCCCCUCCCGAACCUUACCUUUUUCAGGGAAGGAAGGGAGAGACACCAUUAAAAAAAUCUUGAUAAUCAAGGACGCCUGUGAUCCUAGGCAGCUUUCUGGAGCACAAAGACACUCAGCAAAGCUGUUCUCCCACCUAAAGUAAAAUGUCUCUGAUUCAUAAGACAUUCCAG
This 459-nucleotide long non-coding RNA is filed under the name Phascolarctos cinereus (koala). RNAcentral describes it as "lncRNA (ENSPCIG00000031583.1)". Lineage: Eukaryota; Metazoa; Chordata; Mammalia; Diprotodontia; Phascolarctidae. The record is from RNAcentral.